CAGUAGCCGCGGUAAUACGUAGGGUGCGAGCGUUAAUCGGAAUUACUGGGCGUAAAGCGUGCGCAGGCGGUUGUGUAAGGCAGGUGUGAAAUCCCCGGGCUUAACCUGGGAACUGCGCUUGUGACUGCACAGCUAGAGUAUGGCAGAGGGGGGUGGAAUUCCACGUGUAGCAGUGAAAUGCGUAGAGAUGUGGAGGAACACCGAUGGCGAAGGCAGCCCCCUGGGCCAAUACUGACGCUCAUGCACGAAAGCGUGGGGAGCAAACAGGAUUAGAUACCCCCGUAGUCCCUGUCUCUUAUAC
This 301-nucleotide ribosomal RNA is filed under the name uncultured bacterium. RNAcentral describes it as "partial 16S ribosomal RNA". It matches the Rfam family "Bacterial small subunit ribosomal RNA", at positions 509 to 807 of the family's 1533-position model. The record is from RNAcentral.